This 493-nucleotide ribosomal RNA is filed under the name Centipeda noxia. RNAcentral describes it as "bacterial SSU rRNA". It matches the Rfam family "Bacterial small subunit ribosomal RNA", at positions 28 to 492 of the family's 1533-position model. Lineage: Bacteria; Bacillati; Bacillota; Negativicutes; Selenomonadales; Selenomonadaceae. The record is from RNAcentral.
GACGAACGCUGGCGGCGUGCUUAACACAUGCAAGUCGAACGGAGCGAAUGAAAGCUUGCUUUUAUAAGCUUAGUGGCAAACGGGUGAGUAACACGUAGACAACCUGCCGACAGGAUGGGGACAACAUUCCGAAAGGAAUGCUAAUACCGAAUGAAGCGCAGGAGAGGCAUCUCUCCUGCGUGAAAGAUGGCCUCUAUAUAUAAGCUAUCACCUGUUGAUGGGUCUGCGUCUGAUUAGCUGGUAGGUGAGGUAACGGCUCACCUAGGCGACGAUCAGUAGCCGGUCUGAGAGGAUGAACGGCCACAUUGGGACUGAGACACGGCCCAGACUCCUACGGGAGGCAGCAGUGGGGAAUCUUCCGCAAUGGGCGCAAGCCUGACGGAGCAACGCCGCGUGAGUGAAGAAGGUCUUCGGAUCGUAAAGCUCUGUUGAUGGGGACGAACGUGCCUAAUGCGAAUAGUUUAGGGCAAUGACGGUACCCAUCGAGGAAGCC